AACGAACGCUGGCGGCGUGGAUAAGACAUGCAAGUCGAACGGGAACUUCAGCUGUAGCAAUACAGUUGAAGUUUUAGUGGCGAACGGGUGCGUAACACGUGGGCAAUCUGCCGAGAAGUGGGGGAUAGCUCGCCGAAAGGCGAAUUAAUACCGCAUAUGAUCAGCUAAGACAUCUUAGCGACAUCAAAGCCGGGGCAACCUGGCGCUUUUUGAGGAGCCCGCGGCCUAUCAGCUAGUUGGUGAGGUAACGGCUCACCAAGGCUAUGACGGGUAGCUGGUCUGAGAGGACGACCAGUCACACUGGAACUGAGACACGGUCCAGACACCUACGGGUGGCAGCAGUCGAGAAUUUUUCUCAAUGGGGCAACCCUGAAGGAGCGACGCCGCGUGGAGGAUGAAGGC
This 402-nucleotide ribosomal RNA is filed under the name uncultured bacterium. RNAcentral's name for it is "bacterial SSU rRNA". It matches the Rfam family "Bacterial small subunit ribosomal RNA", at positions 29 to 415 of the family's 1533-position model. The record is from RNAcentral.